Molecule: transfer RNA, 104 nt
Filed under: Escovopsis weberi
Lineage: Eukaryota; Fungi; Ascomycota; Sordariomycetes; Hypocreales; Hypocreaceae
Rfam family: tRNA
About the family: Transfer RNA (tRNA) molecules are approximately 80 nucleotides in length.
Source: Rfam by way of RNAcentral
GCUCUCGUAGCUCAGUUGGUUAGAGCUUCGUACUAAUAUUGGGAUCAAUGUCUGUCCUAGUCUUGGUGAUGCGGAGGCCGCAGGUUCAAGCCCUGCCGAGAGCA